GAUGAAGAACGUAGCGAAAUGCGAUAAGUAGUGUGAAUUGCAGAAUUCAGUGAAUCAUCGAAUCUUUGAACGCACAUUGCGCCCCUUGGUAUCCUGAGGGGCAUGCCUGUUCGAGCGUCAUUUCACCACUCAAGCCUGGCUUGGUGUUGGGCGACGUCCCCUUUGGGGACGCGCCUCGAAACGCUCGGCGGCGUGGCACCGGCUUUAAGCGUAGCAGAAUCUUUCGCUUUGGAAGUCGGGGCCCCGUCUGCCGGAAGACCUACUCGCAAGGUUGACCUCGGAUCAGGCAGGGAUACCCGCUGAACUUAAGCAUAUCAAUAAGCGGAGGA
RNAcentral lists this unclassified non-coding RNA (329 nucleotides) under soil metagenome. RNAcentral's name for it is "partial contains 5.8S ribosomal RNA, internal transcribed spacer 2, and large subunit ribosomal RNA". The stretch from base 1 to 120 matches the Rfam family "5.8S ribosomal RNA", at positions 35 to 154 of the family's 154-position model. The record is from RNAcentral.